AACGCAUCUUGCGCUCCUUGGUAUUCCGAGGAGCAUGCCUGUUCGAGUGUCAUCAAAAGUUCUCAACCACACCGGCUCUUCUGGCGUGGCUUGGAUUUGGGGGUUUGCAGGCUUUGAACAGAAGUCGGCUCCCCUGAAAAGGAUUAGCAGUAUCUGAGCGGGAGACUACGUCGGGCGUGAUAAAUCAUCUAUGCCUCGGUGUACCCGAUGUGUGAGACUGCUUCUAACUGAGUGUUGACAAGUUUGACCUCGAAUCAGGUAGGACUACCCGCUGAACUUAA
Molecule: unclassified non-coding RNA, 281 nt
Filed under: Cladophialophora sp.
Lineage: Eukaryota; Fungi; Ascomycota; Eurotiomycetes; Chaetothyriales; Herpotrichiellaceae
Description: partial contains 5.8S ribosomal RNA, internal transcribed spacer 2, and large subunit ribosomal RNA
Rfam family: 5.8S ribosomal RNA (bases 1-52)
Source: RNAcentral